Long non-coding RNA from Amphiprion ocellaris (clown anemonefish), 488 nucleotides. The record is from Ensembl. NCBI's taxonomy places the organism in Eukaryota, Metazoa, Chordata, Actinopteri, Pomacentridae.
UUCAAAAGAAGACGUAGUUGAUGAAGGCGUUCUGGAGCGGGACCAGAAAGACCACGACCAAGCAGCCUUGAGAUCUUAGACAGCGUCUCCCUCAGGUCCCUCUCUAUCUCCCCACACAUCCACCAACCACUGGAACACAUCUCCAAAGUUCUGCUGGGCCAGCUCAGCUUCCCCUCAGAAGAAGUGGCGCCACCUGCCAGAUGAAGGAGCCUUUUGAGAGGCAGCUGGCAUCGUGAUUGGACUGUACUUUGGUCUGUUCCAAUCCAGCUUCAGCUCCAGAGACGGCAGGCGGGACGAGUCAACGGAGGCCGGGUGGACGAAGGCAUGAAGCUGAGUACAAUCCAGAAAACAACAGAGGAGGAGGAAACAAACGUAGUAGUAUAGUAGAAAAUAUACAUAGUAUAUUGUAUAAAUAACAAAUCAAAGGAAAGAGAUAUACAUUGUAGAAUUGCAGUAAUUGUGAACUGACUGAUUUACUGAUUAUCAGC